This 97-nucleotide ribosomal RNA is filed under the name Acanthosepion pharaonis. Lineage: Eukaryota; Metazoa; Mollusca; Cephalopoda; Sepiida; Sepiidae. The record is from RNAcentral.
UUACGGCCACAUCACGUUGAAACACCGGUUUCCGUACGAUCACCGAAGUUAAGCAACAUCAAGCCUGGUCAAUACCUAGAUAGGUGACCGCUUGGGU